CUCUUAUCCAGAGAGGUGGAGGGACCGGCCCGAUGAAACCCGGCAACCAGCGAGAUGUUUAUCUAGCAAGGUGCCAAUUCCUACAAAGCUUUUGCUUUGAAAGAUGAGAG
RNAcentral lists this non-coding RNA (110 nucleotides) under Evansella cellulosilytica. RNAcentral's name for it is "Bacillus cellulosilyticus SAM-I sequence". It matches the Rfam family "SAM riboswitch aptamer (S box leader)". Rfam says of the family: The SAM riboswitch is found upstream of a number of genes which code for proteins involved in methionine or cysteine biosynthesis in Gram-positive bacteria. The record is from RNAcentral. Lineage: Bacteria; Bacillati; Bacillota; Bacilli; Caryophanales; Bacillaceae. RNAcentral also lists the same sequence under 1 other name.